Molecule: ribosomal RNA, 479 nt
Filed under: uncultured bacterium
Lineage: Bacteria
Description: bacterial SSU rRNA
Rfam family: Bacterial small subunit ribosomal RNA
Source: RNAcentral
AAUCAACGCUGGCGGCGUGCCUCAGACAUGCAAGUCGAACGAUUAAAGCUCUCUUCGGAGAGUGUAUAGAGUGGCGCACGGGUGAGUAACACGUAAGUAAUCUACCCUCGAGUGGGGAAUAACAACCGGAAACGGUUGCUAAUACCGCAUAAUGCAGCGGCACCGCAAGGUGACAGUUGUUAAAGAUUUAUCGCUUGAGGAGGAGCUUGCGGCAGAUUAGCUAGUUGGUAGGGUAACGGCUUACCAAGGCUACGAUCUGUAACCGGUCUAAGAGGACGGUCGGUCACACUGACACUGAAUAACGGGUCAGACUCCUACGGGAGGCAGCAGUCGGGAAUUUUGGGUAAUGGGCGAAAGCCUGACCCAGCAACGCCGCGUGAAGGAUGAAGUAUUUCGGUAUGUAAACUUCGAAAGAAUAGGAAGAAUUAAUGACGGUACUAUUUAUAAGGUCCGGCUAACUACGUGCCAGCAGCCGCGGU